ACGCCUGCCUGUCACGCAGGAGAUCGCGGGUUCGAUUCCCGUCGAGACCGCCA
RNAcentral lists this transfer RNA (53 nucleotides) under Staphylococcus lugdunensis. RNAcentral describes it as "tRNA-Ser". It matches the Rfam family "tRNA", at positions 23 to 71 of the family's 71-position model. Rfam says of the family: Transfer RNA (tRNA) molecules are approximately 80 nucleotides in length. The record is from RNAcentral. Lineage: Bacteria; Bacillati; Bacillota; Bacilli; Caryophanales; Staphylococcaceae.